GGGUUCUGCCAGAAGUAGKUAGCCUAACCGYAAGGRGGGCGMUUACCACGGCAGGGUUCRUGACUGGGGUGAAGUCGUAACAAGGUAGCCGUAGGUGAACCUGCAGAAGGAUCA
This 114-nucleotide ribosomal RNA is filed under the name uncultured eukaryote. Its description in RNAcentral is "partial small subunit ribosomal RNA". The record is from RNAcentral.